This 73-nucleotide transfer RNA is filed under the name Patescibacteria group bacterium. RNAcentral describes it as "tRNA-Ile". It matches the Rfam family "tRNA". From Rfam's summary of the family: Transfer RNA (tRNA) molecules are approximately 80 nucleotides in length. Their secondary structure includes four short double-helical elements and three loops (D, anti-codon, and T loops). The record is from RNAcentral.
GCGCGUGUAGCUCAGUUGGUAGAGCGUUCGUCUUAUACACGAAUGGCCGGGGGUCCGAAUCCCUCCACGCGCA